Molecule: ribosomal RNA, 253 nt
Filed under: uncultured bacterium
Lineage: Bacteria
Description: partial 16S ribosomal RNA
Rfam family: Archaeal small subunit ribosomal RNA
Source: RNAcentral
UACCAGCACCCCGAGUGGUCGGGACGAUUAUUGGGCCUAAAGCAUCCGUAGCCGGCCUUACAAGUCCUCCGUUAAAUCCAGCUGCUUAACAGAUGGGCUGCGGAGGAUACUAUAAGACUAGGAGGCAGGAGAGGCAAGCGGUACUCAGUGGGUAGGGGUAAAAUCCGUUGAUCCAUUGAAGACCACCAGUGGCGAAGGCGGCUUGCCAGAACGCGCUCGACGGUGAGGGAUGAAAGCUGGGGGAGCAGACCGG